ACGGGUGAGUAACGCGUGGGAACGUGCCCUUCGGUUCGGAAUAACUCAGGGAAACUUGAGCUAAUACCGGAUACGCCCUUUUGGGGAAAGGCUUGACUGCCGAAGGAUCGGCCCGCGUCUGAUUAGCUAGUUGGUGAGGUUACGGCUCACCAAGGCGACGAUCAGUAGCUGGUCUGAGAGGAUGAUCAGCCACACUGGGACUGAGACACGGCCCAGACUCCUACGGGAGGCAGCAGUGGGGAAUAUUGGACAAUGGGGGCAACCCUGAUCCAGCCAUGCCGCGUGAGUGAUGACGGCCUUAGGGUUGUAAAGCUCUUUUCUCCGGGACGAUAAUGACGGUACCGGAGGAAUAAGCCCCGGCUAACUUCGUGCCAGCAGCCGCGGUAAUACGAAGGGGGCUAGCGUUGCUCGGAAUCACUGGGCGUAAAGGGCGCGUAGGCGGCUGAUUCAGUCGAGGGUGAAAGCCCGUGGCUCAACCACGGAAUGGCCUUCGAUACUGGUUGGCUUGAGACCGGAAGAGGACAGCGGAACUGCGAGU
This 538-nucleotide ribosomal RNA is filed under the name uncultured bacterium. RNAcentral describes it as "bacterial SSU rRNA". It matches the Rfam family "Bacterial small subunit ribosomal RNA", at positions 102 to 674 of the family's 1533-position model. The record is from RNAcentral.